This 199-nucleotide long non-coding RNA is filed under the name Elaeis guineensis (African oil palm). RNAcentral's name for it is "long non-coding RNA (EGUI_LNC001691)". Lineage: Eukaryota; Viridiplantae; Streptophyta; Magnoliopsida; Arecales; Arecaceae. The record is from RNAcentral.
ACAGAGACUUGGUUUAAAAAUAAUUUUCAAAUCUAUGCUCAAGCGAGCUUUAACGAAAAUCAAAAGUCGGAAGUUGUUUGCUAAAGACAAUAAGACUAAGGAUCUAGGGUUUUUGAAUCCACUAGAUCUAGAUUAGGGAAUUCUAUCUAGAAUUUUUCUUAUUGAUCCUAACGACUACUCCUCUUGUCUUUCCCAAGCA